This 550-nucleotide ribosomal RNA is filed under the name uncultured bacterium. RNAcentral describes it as "bacterial SSU rRNA". It matches the Rfam family "Bacterial small subunit ribosomal RNA", at positions 355 to 896 of the family's 1533-position model. The record is from RNAcentral.
UAGGGAAUCUUCGGCAAUGGACGGAAGUCUGACCGAGCAACGCCGCGUGAGUGAAGAAGGUUUUCGGAUCGUAAAGCUCUGUUGUAAGAGAAGAACGAGUGUGAGAGUGGAAAGUUCACACUGUGACGGUAUCUUACCAGAAAGGGACGGCUAACUACGUGCCAGCAGCCGCGGUAAUACGUAGGUCCCGAGCGUUGUCCGGAUUUAUUGGGCGUAAAGCGAGCGCAGGCGGUUAGAUAAGUCUGAAGUUAAAGGCUGUGGCUUAACCAUAGUACGCUUUGGAAACUGUUUAACUUGAGUGCAAGAGGGGAGAGUGGAAUUCCAUGUGUAGCGGUGAAAUGCGUAGAUAUAUGGAGGAACACCGGUGGCGAAAGCGGCUCUCUGGCUUGUAACUGACGCUGAGGCUCGAAAGCGUGGGGAGCAAACAGGAUUAGAUACCCUGGUAGUCCACGCCGUAAACGAUGAGUGCUAGGUGUUAGACCCUUUCCGGGGUUUAGUGCCGCAGCUAACGCAUUAAGCACUCCGCCUGGGGGGUACGACCGCAAGGUUG